UCGCCUGUUUAUCAAAAACAUCGCCUCUUGCAAACAAAAGAUGUAUUAGAGGUCCCGCCUGCCCUGUGACCAUAGUGUUUAACGGCCGCGGUAUCCUGACCGUGCGAAGGUAGCGUAAUCACUUGUCUUUUAAAUGAAGACCUGUAUGAAUGGCAUAACGAGGGUUUAACUGUCUCCCCCCUCCAGUCAAUGAAAUUGAUCUGUCCGUGCAGAAGCGGACAUAAAUACAUAAGACGAGAAGACCCUAUGGAGCUUUAGGCUAAAGAACAGGCACGUAUAAAAGCUCGAACCCAAAUCCAAAAGAUAAAAUAAAGAGGCCUAUAAACCAAGUGCAAAAUGAUCGACAAUGCCUUCGGUUGGGGCGACCACGGGGGAAAGAAAAACCCCCGCACGGAACGGAGAAACCUCCCAAACCAAGAAGUACAUUUCUAAGUAACAGAAUAUCUGACCAAAAAUGACCCAGGACAAAAACCUUAAACCUGAUCAAUGAACCAAGUUACCCUAGGGAUAACAGCGCAAUCCCCUCCCAGAGUCCAUAUCGACGAGGGGGUUUACGACCUCGAUGUUGGAUCAGGACAUCCUAAUGGUGCAGCCGCUAUUAAGGGUUCGUUUGUUCAACGAUUAAUAGUCCUACGUGAUCUGAGUUCAGACCGG
Molecule: ribosomal RNA, 654 nt
Filed under: Heteroconger hassi (spotted garden-eel)
Lineage: Eukaryota; Metazoa; Chordata; Actinopteri; Anguilliformes; Congridae
Description: partial 16S ribosomal RNA subunit
Rfam family: Bacterial large subunit ribosomal RNA
Source: RNAcentral